This 399-nucleotide ribosomal RNA is filed under the name Scinax ruber (red snouted treefrog). Its description in RNAcentral is "partial 16S ribosomal RNA". It matches the Rfam family "Bacterial large subunit ribosomal RNA", at positions 1846 to 2422 of the family's 2925-position model. The record is from RNAcentral. Lineage: Eukaryota; Metazoa; Chordata; Amphibia; Anura; Hylidae.
UAAGAGGUCCAGCCUGCCCAGUGACUAAUGUUCAACGGCCGCGGUAUCCUAACCGUGCGAAGGUAGCGUAAUCACUUGUUCUUUAAAUGAGGACUAGUAUGAACGGCACCACGAGGGUUAUACUGUCUCCUCUCUCUAAUCAGUGAAACUAAUCCCCCCGUGAAGAAGCGGGGAUAAAACUAUAAGACGAGAAGACCCUAUGGAGCUUUAAACUUAUCCUCAAACGCCAAAAUCACACAUCAAGUUUCAAACUUCACCAUAUGAACUCUCGCGCCAUGAGGACAAUUUUAGGUUGGGGUGACCAUGGAGUAUAAAAUAACCUCCAUGCUGAAUAGGCCUCCAAGCCUCGAGCCAAGGGCUACGAUCCAUCGCACUAAAAUACUAAUAUCCAUUGAUCCA